AUUUUUAUUGUUCAUCGGAGGAAAAGAAACCAACAGGGAUUGCCCUAGUAACGGCGAGUGAAGCGGCAACAGCUCAAAUUUGAAAGCUGGCUCCGGCCCGCAUUGUAAUUUGCAGAGGAUGCUUCUGGUGAGGUGCCUUCCGAGUUCCCUGGAACGGGACGCCAUAGAGGGUGAGAGCCCCGUAUGGAUGGACACCAAACCUGUGUGAAGCUCCUUCAACGAGUCGAGUAGUUUGGGAAUGCUGCUCAAAAUGGGAGGUAAAUCUCUUCUAAAGCUAAAUACCGGCCAGAGACCGAUAGCGCACAAGUAGAGUGAUCGAAAGAUGAAAAGCACCUUGAAAAGGGGGUUAAACAGUACGUGAAAUUGUUGAAAGGGAAGCACUUGUGACCAGACUUGCGCCGGGCAGCUCAUCAGGGGUUCUCCCCUGUGCACUCUGCCCGGCUCAGGCCAGCAUCGGUUCUCGUGGGAGGAUAAGAACGAUGGGAACGUGGCCCCCCUCCGGGGGGGUGUUAUAGCCCAACGUACGAUACUCUCGUGGGGACCGAGGUUCGCGCUCCGCAAGGAUGCUGGCGUAAUGGUCAUCAGUGACCCGUCUAAAACCUGGCACCCAAGGGUGAGCUG
This 621-nucleotide ribosomal RNA is filed under the name Cytospora pruinopsis. Its description in RNAcentral is "partial large subunit ribosomal RNA". It matches the Rfam family "Eukaryotic large subunit ribosomal RNA", at positions 35 to 664 of the family's 3401-position model. The record is from RNAcentral. Lineage: Eukaryota; Fungi; Ascomycota; Sordariomycetes; Diaporthales; Cytosporaceae.